AUUUAUUUCCUUUGUUCCAUAAAGGACUUUUUUUUUUUUUAAUUUUUGGAACUUUUGAUAUAAAAGGCGAACUUGGAGAGCACAGAUUUAUCUUCUUGACUCUAAGAGCGAGAAAACGUCAAUAUGCAAUAUUUGUUUGCUGUCUUGGUUUUGGUUGCUUUGGUGGCUUGUGCCUUUGCACAGUAUUGGCCCUACUACGGUGGUUACUAUGGAGCUGCCCAUACCUACAACUAUGCCUAUCCAUCGGCCUAUAAUUAUGCCUACAACCCCGCUCUCUCCUACUGGUGGAAGAAGUAAACCGAUUUCACUUGAUUUGUUUGAAAACCAGUACCUGUGAAGAGAAAGAACUGUUUCUUUUCUCAAAACUUGUACCUCUGAAGUGAAAGAAAAAUUGAGUUCGGGAUUAAUCAGUAAUUCAAACUGGCAAAAAGAACUUUGCCAACUUUGUUGAUUGAUUUUAAUGUAAAAAUUACAAUAGCUUAAAAAUAAAGUUUUAUAUUUUGAA
This is a long non-coding RNA of Stegodyphus dumicola, 505 nucleotides long. RefSeq lists it as uncharacterized. Lineage: Eukaryota; Metazoa; Arthropoda; Arachnida; Araneae; Eresidae. The record is from RefSeq and is a predicted model, not a curated record.